RNAcentral lists this ribosomal RNA (292 nucleotides) under uncultured bacterium. RNAcentral describes it as "partial 16S ribosomal RNA". The record is from RNAcentral.
GGACUACAAGGGUUUCUAAUCCUGUUUGAUCCCCACGCUUUCGAGCCUAAGUGUCAAUGUUGGGCCAGAUACCCGCCUUCGCCACCGGAGUUCCACCUGAUAUCUACGUAUUUCACCACUACACCAGGUAUUCCAGUAUCCUCUCCCACAUUCAAGUCUUGCAGUAUCAAAAGCACUUCCAGGGUUAAGCCCUGGGCUUUCACUCCUGACUUACAAGACCACCCGCGCUCGCUUUACGCCCAAUGAUUCCGAGCAACGCUUGCACCCUUCGUAUUACCGCGGCUGCUGGCAC